UUAUAUAUAUAAGUUGUAAUAAAUCCCAAAAAGUCACUCAAAAUACCAAAAAUCGCAAACUGCACGAACUGCAGUUUUUGCACUGCGUACCGGUACUCGGGCAGGAGUGCCGGUACCCGGCAAUAUUCCUGCACAACCCGAGCCUCUGCCAGACAAUCUGUUUACGGCGUACCGGUACCCGCUAAAUGCAGUACCGAUACCGACUCCAGUACCGGUACUCGGUACCUCAGUACCGAUACCCAGCACCUCCCAGCCCAAACUCGAGAGCAGCUUCUCUCGGUUACGUACUG
Molecule: long non-coding RNA, 290 nt
Filed under: Ananas comosus (pineapple)
Lineage: Eukaryota; Viridiplantae; Streptophyta; Magnoliopsida; Poales; Bromeliaceae
Description: long non-coding RNA (ACOM_LNC027923)
Source: RNAcentral